UAUCAGACUUUAAGAUUCAUCACCUUAAAGGACGGAACUCUCAAAUGUAAUAUCUAUGGCAAUUCAAUGUGAGAAUGAGAAAGGAAAAUACAGAUGAUUAGUUCUGAUUACUUUGCCAGUUUGAGCUUGGUAUUUAAAGAGAGUCUUGCAUCAACCGAAUAGAUGACCAACUGACUAACAAUGGAAGAGGCCCAGAAGAUGAGUAGGAGAGGAAUCAAUAGGAACAGAACCAAGAGACCACCUAAACGUGCAUUUCCUGCUCCCUGAAUUCUCCCUGCUAUUGAAUUUAAGAAGUCUAC
Molecule: long non-coding RNA, 299 nt
Organism: Antechinus flavipes (yellow-footed antechinus)
Lineage: Eukaryota; Metazoa; Chordata; Mammalia; Dasyuromorphia; Dasyuridae
Exons: 3
Source: RefSeq, a predicted model, not a curated record